This 387-nucleotide long non-coding RNA is filed under the name Pongo abelii (Sumatran orangutan). RNAcentral describes it as "lincRNA". Lineage: Eukaryota; Metazoa; Chordata; Mammalia; Primates; Hominidae. The record is from RNAcentral.
CACCUACUCAGCUCUAUUACAUGUUGGAAAAACUGAACCAGAGAAACAGUUACAUACACUAUCUCUUCUGGAAAAGCUGGAUUGGGUUUUGGUCUGUAUCAAUAGGGCCCAUUAUACAGGCUGCCUUUCCAGCUCUCCAAUCAUACUUCCAAGAAAACUGCUCACUCUCAGAACCAAGGUUCAAGUUGUACAUUGUGAUUUGGGUAGAGGCUAUAUAUGCAGUGAUGCCCAUGCUACCCCUGAGAUCUAAAAAUCUAAGAUGAAAACAAGCACACAGUCUUGGCAGCACUGGGGUAACAGACUAUGAAAGAAGAAAUCAGAUUGGAAAAUUCAGUAUAUCAAUGAAGAAAAUAAUCACUCGAGAGGAAUAAACAGCAAAACAAUCUA